CCCCCUGCUCAGUGAGGGAAAGCGGCUCUGCUAGCCCCUCUGCAUCUAGGCCCAGCCCCCACUCCACCUUCAGCCCAGUGGCUGAAGGCUGGGGAAGGCCCUCUGGCUACUCCCAGAGAGGCUGCUCUGGUCAGCUCUGCCGCCACCUGAGAACUGUGAAUAUGGCCUCUGGGUGGGAAUGUGCAAAGGCCAGGCCGCACACUGAUCGUUCCUUCCUGCCCCAGAGACUCCUGCGGUUGAGCUGGGGGACAGAUAUGCCCAUGUACGACAAGCCCAGGGUCUGGGCAUAUAGUGUGAAGGACUCUGGAAGAGCUGCUCAGUGUGCCUGGUUCUCGCGUGGUAAUGAGCCUGAAGAUGUGUGCACUGGAAGAGCUGCCUCAAACCAGGGGCCAGGGGAAGAAGCAUCACUGGGCUCAUCUCUUGCCUGUCGCUGCAGAGCCACAGCCCGACGCUGGAUUUUCGUUGCAGACUUCUUUCCAGUUUCCUCAGUGUAUAUUACCUAUGAUAUCUUAGGUAAACAGGAGAAGCGGUGAGUCUGCAUUACUCUUUCUAGAUCUUGAGGACUGAAUCCCUAGAACUGUCUCUGUCUUGUGGAACCUUCCCUGAGAGACUGUCUGCACUCCCCUCCCUGUAUGUUCCUGAAGACAUCAUUUUUUAUGCACACCAUUCUCAUUACUCUUCAAAUAUGUCAAGGUCAUUAAACACAAAGGAAAAAUGAGGAACUAUUCCGGAUUAAAGGAGACUAAAGAGACAUGACAACUAAUGCAGUGGAUGAUCCUGGAGUGGGAGAAAAAAGAGCUAUAAACGACAUCAUUGGGACCAAUGGUGAAAUCUAAAUAAGAUAGGCAGAUCAGAUAAUAGUUUUGUACCAGUGUUCAUUUCCUAAUUUUGAUAAUUGCAUUGUGAUUCUCUAAAAGAAUACUCUUGUUCUGAGGAAAUACAUUUAAUGUAUCAGGGGUGGGGCAAAAGGAAAUGAUGCUUUCAGCUUUUUCUCAAAUGGUUUGAAAAAUGCUAGUGAGUGGUGAACCUGGCUGACGGGCAUGUGGAAUUUCUUUGUAGUGUUCUGUCUGUAAGUUUGAAAUUAUAUAAAAAUAAAAAGUUACAAAAAAGGAU
Galeopterus variegatus (Sunda flying lemur) is the source of this 1113-nucleotide long non-coding RNA. RefSeq lists it as uncharacterized. NCBI's taxonomy places the organism in Eukaryota, Metazoa, Chordata, Mammalia, Dermoptera, Cynocephalidae. The transcript has 2 exons. The record is from RefSeq and is a predicted model, not a curated record.